GGAUAUAGCUCAGUUUGGUAGAGUGCUUGCCUUGCAUGUGCAAGGCCCUGGGUACAAUCCCCAGCACCA
This 69-nucleotide transfer RNA is filed under the name Marmota monax (woodchuck). RNAcentral's name for it is "tRNA.Ala". The record is from RNAcentral. Lineage: Eukaryota; Metazoa; Chordata; Mammalia; Rodentia; Sciuridae.